CCCUGAUCCAGCCAUGCCGCGUGUGUGAAGAAGGCCUUUUGGUUGUAAAGCACUUUAAGCGAGGAGGAGGCUACUCUAGUUAAUACCUAGGGAUAGUGGACGUUACUCGCAGAAUAAGCACCGGCUAACUCUGUGCCAGCAGCCGCGGUAAUACAGAGGGUGCAAGCGUUAAUCGGAUUUACUGGGCGUAAAGCGCGCGUAGGUGGCCAAUUAAGUCAAAUGUGAAAUCCCCGAGCUUAACUUGGGAAUUGCAUUCGAUACUGGUUGGCUAGAGUAUGGGAGAGGAUGGUAGAAUUCCAGGUGUAGCGGUGAAAUGCGUAGAGAUCUGGAGGAAUACCGAUGGCGAAGGCAGCCAUCUGGCCUAAUACUGACACUGAGGUGCGAAAGCAUGGGGAGCAAACAGGAUUAGAUACCCUGGUAGUCCAUGCCGUAAACGAUGUC
This 441-nucleotide ribosomal RNA is filed under the name bacterium E-2-0-3H. RNAcentral's name for it is "bacterial SSU rRNA". It matches the Rfam family "Bacterial small subunit ribosomal RNA", at positions 381 to 813 of the family's 1533-position model. The record is from RNAcentral.